Pelobates cultripes (western spadefoot toad) is the source of this 1359-nucleotide non-coding RNA. The record is from the annotation of a GenBank genome assembly. Lineage: Eukaryota; Metazoa; Chordata; Amphibia; Anura; Pelobatidae.
ACCCCACACUGCAUGCUCACUCUCCCUGCCAGACACCCCCACACUGCAUGCUCACCCUCUCUGCAGAGCCAGAGAACCCCACACUGCAUGCUCACUCUCCCUGCCAGACACCCCCACACUGCAUGUUCACCCUCUCUUCAACACAGCCAGAUAACCCCACACUGCAUGCUCACUCUCCCUUCAACACAGACAGACACUAACAUUGCAUGCUCACCCUCCCUGCCAGACACCCCCACACUGCAUGUUCACCCUCUCUUCAACACAGCCAGAUAACCCCACACUGCAUGCUCACUCUCCCUUCAAUACAGACAGACACUAACAUUGCAUGCUCACCCUCCCUGCUCACCCUCUCUGCAACACAGCCAGAUAACCCCACACUGCAUGCUAACUCUCCCUGCAACACAGCCAGACACUAACAUUGCAUGCUCACCCUCCCUGCCAGACACCCCCACACUGCAUGCUCACCCUCUCUGCAACACCAGAUAACCCCACACAUGCUCACUCUCCCUUCAACACAGCCAGACACUAACAUUGCAUGCUCACCCUCCCUGCCAGACACCCCCACACUGCAUGCUCACCCUCUCUGCAACACAGCCAGAUAACCCCACACUGCAUGCUCACUCUCCCUUUAACACAGCCAGACACUAACAUUGCAUGCUCACCCUCCCUGCCAGACACCCCCACACUGCAUGCUCACCCUCUUUGCAACACGGCCAGAUAACCCCACACUGCAUGCACACCCUCCCUGCCAGACACCCCCACACUGCAUGCUCACCCUCUCUGCAACACAGCCAGAUAACCCCACACUGCAUGCUCACUCUCCCUGCAACACAGCCAGAUAACCCCACACUGCAUGCUCACUCUCCCGGCAACACAGCCAGAUAACCCCACACUGCAUGCUCACCCUCUCUGCAACACAGCCAGAUACCCCCACAAUGCAAGCUCACUCUCGCUGCAACACAGCCUGGCACCCCCACACUGCAAGACAGCCACACUCGCGCUCUCCAUGCCAGACACCCCCGCACUGCAUUCUUACCCUUAAUGCAAGACAGCCACACACCCCACACUGCAAACUUACUUACCCUGCAUGUUCACCCUCCCUGCAACACAGCCAGACACCCCCAAACUGCUUGCUCACCCGCCCUGCCAGACACCCCACAGUGCAAGCUCACCCUCCUUGCCAGACACCCCCACAGUGCAAGCUUACCCUCCUUGCCAGACACCCCCACAGUGUAAGCUCACCCUCCUUGCCAGACACCCCCACAGUGCAAGCUCACCCUCCCUGCCAGACACCCCCACAGUGCAAGCUCACCCUCCUUGCCAGACACCCCCACAGUGUAAGCUCACCCUCCUUGCCAG